Molecule: ribosomal RNA, 501 nt
Filed under: uncultured bacterium
Lineage: Bacteria
Description: partial 16S ribosomal RNA
Rfam family: Bacterial small subunit ribosomal RNA
Source: RNAcentral
AUUGAACGCUGGCGGCAGGCUUAACACAUGCAAGUCGAGCGGGGGAAGGUAGCUUGCUACCGGACCUAGCGGCGGACGGGUGAGUAAUGCUUAGGAAUCUGCCUAUUAGUGGGGGACAACAUCUCGAAAGGGAUGCUAAUACCGCAUACGUCCUACGGGAGAAAGCAGGGGAUCUUCGGACCUUGCGCUAAUAGAUGAGCCUAAGUCGGAUUAGCUAGUUGGUGGGGUAAAGGCCUACCAAGGCGACGAUCUGUAGCGGGUCUGAGAGGAUGAUCCGCCACACUGGGACUGAGGCACGGCCCAGACUCCUACGGGAGGCAGCAGUGGGGAAUAUUGGACAAUGGGGGGAACCCUGAUCCAGCCAUGCCGCGUGUGUGAAGAAGGCCUUAUGGUUGUAAAGCACUUUAAGCGAGGAGGAGGCUACUCUAGUUAAUACCUAGGGAUAGUGGACGUUACUCGCAGAAUAAGCACCGGUUAACUCUGUGCCAGCCGCCGCCGUAA